This 69-nucleotide transfer RNA is filed under the name Ceriodaphnia cornuta. RNAcentral's name for it is "tRNA-Asn". Lineage: Eukaryota; Metazoa; Arthropoda; Branchiopoda; Diplostraca; Daphniidae. The record is from RNAcentral.
UUAGUUGAAGCUAAAGUCGGAAGCAUCUCACUGUUAAUGGGAUUUAGGAAAAUUUUAUUCCCAGCUAAG